RNAcentral lists this ribosomal RNA (1540 nucleotides) under Staphylococcus aureus M0192. Its description in RNAcentral is "16S ribosomal RNA". It matches the Rfam family "Bacterial small subunit ribosomal RNA". The record is from RNAcentral. Lineage: Bacteria; Bacillati; Bacillota; Bacilli; Caryophanales; Staphylococcaceae. RNAcentral also lists the same sequence under 1 other name.
AGAGUUUGAUCCUGGCUCAGGAUGAACGCUGGCGGCGUGCCUAAUACAUGCAAGUCGAGCGAACGGACGAGAAGCUUGCUUCUCUGAUGUUAGCGGCGGACGGGUGAGUAACACGUGGAUAACCUACCUAUAAGACUGGGAUAACUUCGGGAAACCGGAGCUAAUACCGGAUAAUAUUUUGAACCGCAUGGUUCAAAAGUGAAAGACGGUCUUGCUGUCACUUAUAGAUGGAUCCGCGCUGCAUUAGCUAGUUGGUAAGGUAACGGCUUACCAAGGCAACGAUGCAUAGCCGACCUGAGAGGGUGAUCGGCCACACUGGAACUGAGAUACGGUCCAGACUCCUACGGGAGGCAGCAGUAGGGAAUCUUCCGCAAUGGGCGAAAGCCUGACGGAGCAACGCCGCGUGAGUGAUGAAGGUCUUCGGAUCGUAAAACUCUGUUAUUAGGGAAGAACAUAUGUGUAAGUAACUGUGCACAUCUUGACGGUACCUAAUCAGAAAGCCACGGCUAACUACGUGCCAGCAGCCGCGGUAAUACGUAGGUGGCAAGCGUUAUCCGGAAUUAUUGGGCGUAAAGCGCGCGUAGGCGGUUUUUUAAGUCUGAUGUGAAAGCCCACGGCUCAACCGUGGAGGGUCAUUGGAAACUGGAAAACUUGAGUGCAGAAGAGGAAAGUGGAAUUCCAUGUGUAGCGGUGAAAUGCGCAGAGAUAUGGAGGAACACCAGUGGCGAAGGCGACUUUCUGGUCUGUAACUGACGCUGAUGUGCGAAAGCGUGGGGAUCAAACAGGAUUAGAUACCCUGGUAGUCCACGCCGUAAACGAUGAGUGCUAAGUGUUAGGGGGUUUCCGCCCCUUAGUGCUGCAGCUAACGCAUUAAGCACUCCGCCUGGGGAGUACGACCGCAAGGUUGAAACUCAAAGGAAUUGACGGGGACCCGCACAAGCGGUGGAGCAUGUGGUUUAAUUCGAAGCAACGCGAAGAACCUUACCAAAUCUUGACAUCCUUUGACAACUCUAGAGAUAGAGCCUUCCCCUUCGGGGGACAAAGUGACAGGUGGUGCAUGGUUGUCGUCAGCUCGUGUCGUGAGAUGUUGGGUUAAGUCCCGCAACGAGCGCAACCCUUAAGCUUAGUUGCCAUCAUUAAGUUGGGCACUCUAAGUUGACUGCCGGUGACAAACCGGAGGAAGGUGGGGAUGACGUCAAAUCAUCAUGCCCCUUAUGAUUUGGGCUACACACGUGCUACAAUGGACAAUACAAAGGGCAGCGAAACCGCGAGGUCAAGCAAAUCCCAUAAAGUUGUUCUCAGUUCGGAUUGUAGUCUGCAACUCGACUACAUGAAGCUGGAAUCGCUAGUAAUCGUAGAUCAGCAUGCUACGGUGAAUACGUUCCCGGGUCUUGUACACACCGCCCGUCACACCACGAGAGUUUGUAACACCCGAAGCCGGUGGAGUAACCUUUUAGGAGCUAGCCGUCGAAGGUGGGACAAAUGAUUGGGGUGAAGUCGUAACAAGGUAGCCGUAUCGGAAGGUGCGGCUGGAUCACCU